GAUGAAGAACGUAGCGAAAUGCGAUAAGUAAUGCGAAUUGCAGAAUUCCAGUGAGUCAUCGAAUCUUUGAACGCACAUUGCGCCCUUUGGUAUUCCGAAGGGCAUGCCUGUUCGAGCGUCAUUAUCACCCCUCAAGCCCUCGGCUUGGUGUUGGACGGUUUGGUGGAGGCCCCUCGGGGGCUCCUGCCCCUCCCAAAGACAAUGACGGCGGCCUCGUUGGACCCCCGGUACACUGAGUUCUUCACGGGACACGUAUCGGACACAUGGGUUUACGGGACACGGUCUGCCUCCCCUCAGGGAGAAUCUUUCUAAGGUUGACCUCGGAUCAGGUAGGGAUACCCGCUGAACUUAAGCAUAUCAAUAAGCGGAGGA
Molecule: unclassified non-coding RNA, 372 nt
Filed under: soil metagenome
Description: partial contains 5.8S ribosomal RNA, internal transcribed spacer 2, and large subunit ribosomal RNA
Rfam family: 5.8S ribosomal RNA (bases 1-121)
Source: RNAcentral